Lolium perenne is the source of this 896-nucleotide non-coding RNA. The record is from RefSeq and is a predicted model, not a curated record. Lineage: Eukaryota; Viridiplantae; Streptophyta; Magnoliopsida; Poales; Poaceae.
AUGUGCAUGUCAAGGAUAGAAAGAUAACCGGAUUAAAAAGCCAUGAUAACCAUGUUAUUUUGCAAGACUUGUUGCCCCUUGCUGUGAGAAGAAUAUUGCCAGAAAGAGUGAGUGCUGUAUUGAUACGUGUUAGCAGAUUUUUUAAGAAAAUGUACUCACCGGUUAUUCGUAAAAGUGACAUGGAAAAGUUAGGGGCAGAAAUUGCUGAAACCUUGAGUCUUCUUGAGGCUAUAUUCCUUCCAUCUUUUUUUGAUAUUAUGGUGCACUUGAUGGUUCAUCUUCCGGCACAAGCAAUGAUUGCUGGUCCAGUAUAUUUUCGCAGCAUGUGGUCUACAGAGAGGUGUAUGGGAAAUCUUAAGGGACAUGUCCAUACUAGAAGUCAUGUGGAAGGAUCAAUUGCAGAGGGCUAUUUGUUUCAGGAGAGCUUAACAUUUUGCUCUCGCUAUUUAGAUGGCGAGACUCUGUUUAACCGAGGAGGUAGAAAUGAUGGAGAUUUGGAUAUGGAAAUUGCUUCUGCAACUCCAUUCUUCCGCAACUCUGGUCGAGGGUUGGCUGGCAAGUGUCAAGUGAUGUUAGAUUACAAAACUUGGCUUCAAGCCCACAAAUAUGUCUUAUUCAACUAUGACCAUAUAGAACCAUACUUAAAGUGAGAUGUCCCAUACUUAAACUAAGGCAGAUUUAAAGAAGACAAAGUUUGAUCCCGAAUUGACUGACGAAGAGCUUAUGCCUAGAUGUGAUGACAGAAUUAGUGAAGCUGAUUGGAAGGACCUUCUUAAAUAUUGGAGAUCUCCUGAAUUCGAAGCUCGGAGUUCUACAGCCAAAGAAAAUCGCGCCAAGUCAACCGUGCCUCAUACAGCUGGCAGCAAGAGUCAUGCCCGUGUUACCCAAGAAAUGGU